ACUCGGAAGGCAGAUAAACCACUGUCCUAAAAGAGAUUUCGGUCCCUUCUCGUGCGAAGAUCUGAGCCGCACACCCUCCUUCAAGGUACAGCCGGAAACUAAGCACUCCAACGUCUGUCGAUGGCACAAUCUUGAACGGACGCCGAUCAACUUCGUCCUCAUCCCAAUCAGUAAAAUGAACAAAAGAGAGAGAGCACGAAAAAAG
RNAcentral lists this long non-coding RNA (205 nucleotides) under Elaeis guineensis (African oil palm). Its description in RNAcentral is "long non-coding RNA (EGUI_LNC075869)". Lineage: Eukaryota; Viridiplantae; Streptophyta; Magnoliopsida; Arecales; Arecaceae. The record is from RNAcentral.